UACGAAGGGGGCUAGCGUUGUUCGGAAUUACUGGGCGUAAAGGGCGCGUAGGCGGUCUAACAAGUCAGGUGUGAAAGCCCCGGGCUCAACCCGGGAACUGCACUUGAUACUGUCUGACUUGAGUGUGGGAGAGGUUGGUGGAAUUCCCAGUGUAGAGGUGAAAUUCGUAGAUAUUGGGAAGAACACCCGUGGCGAAGGCGGCCAACUGGACCACAACUGACGCUGAGGCGCGAAAGCGUGGGGAGCAAACAGG
RNAcentral lists this ribosomal RNA (253 nucleotides) under uncultured bacterium. RNAcentral's name for it is "partial 16S ribosomal RNA". It matches the Rfam family "Bacterial small subunit ribosomal RNA", at positions 524 to 776 of the family's 1533-position model. The record is from RNAcentral.